This 2368-nucleotide long non-coding RNA is filed under the name Chrysemys picta bellii (western painted turtle). RNAcentral's name for it is "lncRNA (ENSCPBG00000007852.1)". The record is from RNAcentral. Lineage: Eukaryota; Metazoa; Chordata; Testudines; Emydidae.
CAAUGCUUGACCCCGCCCCCCAGCGGGUCAGAGGUUAGCGAGCCCAGGUAGACACAAUCCGAACCUGGGCAGCCAGGGUCCUACACCGAGGCUCACAAGCCAUAACCGACCUUCAGAACCACCAGCCGCUCCAAGCGGGUCCCGUCCCCGAGCUGUGCUCCUGCAGCAUGGCUCGGCCCCGCUCCCAGACAAGACGCAGGAGGGACGUAGCUUCUGGAGACAGGUGGGGAGGGAAGAACCGUACCAAGCAGUGGAUCCCAUAUCCAGUUUUCUAUUGCUUUGAUCCCGCUGCCCCAGCUAAGAUCCAGGUCCAGUUUAGUCCAGGGACCCCAUUUGUUCCUGUGCGGGGGGAUGGAGGGGAGAGGCUCCGGCCUGGGAGAACUGGGACUCAAAAUCCCCCAGAGGGUUGGAGAUCCAUAGUGAGCAGCUCCUUAUUCCUGCAUGGCCCCUGGUGUCCACAGCGCACCGCCUGCCCCCGCCAGAGACAGCGCAAUGAGAAACUCAGGUCCAGUCCACCCAGCAAGAGAGACCCAAUAAACACCAAGCAAACGGCCCUGGUUCUUCUGGGAGGAGGAGCAGCAGCUCGGGACGCUACUGAGCAAAGAUGAUGCUGGAGAGGGGUUUAGACCACUGGAGGACAUCUUGGUCGUAGGUGGCACGGGUUCCGUCCUUGGGACAGUGCGGGCAGCAGGUUGCUACAUCAGGCAUUGGCCUGGCAGGGCACCUCUGCUCCUCCAUACUUGCUUCCUGCGGGGCUGAGCGGGAGGAGAAGCUAUUGGAGAGCAGAGCAGGACCCUACACUGGGUUCAGACCGCGUCACAGGGGUCUCCCUACACCAAGAGGGGGAUAGACUGACCCGGGGUUAUGUUAGGAAUGCAGCGUAUGUUCAUGGCUGGGCCACGCACAGCUUUGGUACGAAUACAGUUAACCAGCGCAGCCCCCAGCGCCGACACAGUUUGACGGGAUAGCUUAGAUCCCAGCCUUAAGGGAAAGCAAGGGAGGAAAGAGAGAUGAGGGAAGAGAAGGGAAAAGUGUCACAGUUUCUAACCAUCGGCCAAGCCUCCCAUGAGGAGCUGUGGGGACAAACAGCCUGACUAAUUUGAAGACGGAGCUUGGUAAGUUUCUGAAUGGGGCUGUAGGAUGGAUUGCCAGCAAAAGCAGGGGCCAGACGCGAGGACCUAGGACCCUCCUUGCCUGUGCCCAUGGAGUAUGGGAUAGAGAGAAGGAGAAGGAGGAAAGAGGAGUGAGUGGAGAACGGGGGUCCUUGUUAGCCCCCAGGCUGCUGGAAUCGCAUUGACUGGGUAAUCUCACUGGCUCUCACCCUCCAACACCUGGGUCCCCUGCCCUCUACAUACUGCCCCUUAUCAGGAUCAGGGCUCUAGGCCGUAUGCUCAGCCCCACAGCACUAAUCCCCUCCCUCCCCAUCUCCUCCAUGAGAACUGAAACGCGGGACUCGCAGUGGCUUGUUUAAGCCCCAAACCAUUAACAGAGCAGAUGUGGAGCUUAACUGAGCUCCUCCUUCCCUGCCCUACAAACACCUGAGUUCAGGGCUCUGGAGCUUCCAUUUCUAGAGCGCCGUCCCCCAGGAUGGUCCUAAAGCACCCUACAAACUGCACACCUGCAGCCCUCUCUGGGGUGGAACACGGCAGCUCGUUGACACAGCACAGCAACACUGCAUAGCAGCUCAGGGCAAGAAACAAAGGAGGAUCCUGUCUCUGAUUGCAACCGCUAAGGAUUUUAGGGAAGGGAAACUUGAGCUGGAAUUUGGCCAGGACUCCAAGGCUAAUGCCCUGAUUGACAAACAAGCCACAAGAUUGCAGUUUGUAGGGCCUGGACUUCAAGGCUCAUCUGAAGGACACCUCUUUGACUACAAGCUUCCCCUAAUGGCACCGUGGGCUCUGUAUGGCCUCUAAAGGGAAGAACAGCUCCUAUUGACCCUCCAACACCACUCCCAUCCAAAUACUGGCCAGGCCUGACUCUGAUUAGCAUGCAAGACCUGACCUGCUCCCAGCAGAGCAAGGUGCUUUGAUUGCAGGCAUUGCAAAUGAUUUGAGCAGCACAGGAAAACGCUCUGCUUUGGACACUGGCUUGUCAGCUACGGCAGAGGAAACGUGGAAUAUUGAGCUCAAGCCUUGGCAUGUCAAAGACAGGAGGAAUCGCUUUCAAAUAGCUCAGGUCUGUACCUCCCAGUUCUUCCCAAAUCUCAGCUGAAAUCAUCUUCUCUUCUCCCCUCCCCCUGAAAUUCCCUCUGCUACAAGUUAUUUGCCAGUGAUAGCUACGGAUCAUGUUUUAAAUACCUAGAGCUUUAUAGAGCUGCCACUUCAGGUGUACACCGAAAUAAAUGAUCUCAUACAAGGGGAGACCCUCA